Molecule: unclassified non-coding RNA, 244 nt
Filed under: Meyerozyma caribbica
Lineage: Eukaryota; Fungi; Ascomycota; Pichiomycetes; Serinales; Debaryomycetaceae
Description: partial contains small subunit ribosomal RNA, internal transcribed spacer 1, and 5.8S ribosomal RNA
Rfam family: Eukaryotic small subunit ribosomal RNA (bases 1-46)
Source: RNAcentral
AAGUCGUAACAAGGUUUCCGUAGGUGAACCUGCGGAAGGAUCAUUACAGUAUUCUUUUGCCAGCGCUUAACUGCGCGGCGAAAAACCUUACACACAGUGUCUUUUUGAUACAGAACUCUUGCUUUGGUUUGGCCUAGAAAUAGGUUGGGCCAGAGGUUUAACAAAACACAAUUUAAUUAUUUUUAUUGAUAGUCAAAUUUUGAAUUAAUCUUCAAAACUUUCAACAACGGAUCUCUUGGUUCUC